This 204-nucleotide unclassified non-coding RNA is filed under the name Hevea brasiliensis (rubber tree). Lineage: Eukaryota; Viridiplantae; Streptophyta; Magnoliopsida; Malpighiales; Euphorbiaceae. The record is from RNAcentral.
GAGAAGGGUCCGAGUUUGCCUGACGAUCUCAGCGGGAGAUUUGGGUUUGGACUUGAACAGGGAUUUCAUUUGUGAGUGUUGGAUGUAGGGUUGUGAAAGUGUGGGAUUGAACUCGAGGGAGAGAAGAGAAGAGGUGUUUGUUUCCGGGAAAGAAGGCUGCAUCAAAGAAAUUGCCAUGUAUACGUAAUUAUCUGAAUAAAGCAA